This 440-nucleotide ribosomal RNA is filed under the name uncultured bacterium. RNAcentral describes it as "partial 16S ribosomal RNA". It matches the Rfam family "Bacterial small subunit ribosomal RNA", at positions 338 to 795 of the family's 1533-position model. The record is from RNAcentral.
CCUACGGGAGGCAGCAGUGGGGAAUAUUGCACAAUGGGCGAAACCCUGAUGCAGCGACGCCGCGUGAGUGAAGAAGUAAUUCGUUAUGUAAAGCUCUAUCAGCAGGGAAGAAAAUGACGGUACCUGAGUAAGAAGCCCCGGCUAACUACGUGCCAGCAGCCGCGGUAAUACGUAGGGGGCAAGCGUUAUCCGGAUUUACUGGGUGUAAAGGGAGCGUAGACGGCAGUGCAAGUCUGGAGUGAAAGGCUGGGGCUCAACCCCCGGACUGCUUUGGAAACUGUUAGGCUGGAGUGCAGGAGAGGUAAGCGGAAUUCCUAGUGUAGCGGUGAAAUGCGUAGAUAUUAGGAGGAACACCAGUGGCGAAGGCGGCUUACUGGACUGUAACUGACAUUGAGGCUCGAAAGCGUGGGGAGCAAACAGGAUUAGAUACCCGUGUAGUC